GUGGGGAAUAUUGGACAAUGGGGGGAACCCUGAUCCAGCCAUGCCGCGUGUGUGAAGAAGGCCUUUUGGUUGUAAAGCACUUUAAGCGAGGAGGAGGCUACCGAGAUUAAUACUCUUGGAUAGUGGACGUUACUCGCAGAAUAAGCACCGGCUAACUCUGUGCCAGCAGCCGCGGUAAUACAGAGGGUGCAAGCGUUAAUCGGAUUUACUGGGCGUAAAGCGCGCGUAGGUGGCCAAUUAAGUCAAAUGUGAAAUCCCCGAGCUUAACUUGGGAAUUGCAUUCGAUACUGGUUGGCUAGAGUAUGGGAGAGGAUGGUAGAAUUCCAGGUGUAGCGGUGAAAUGCGUAGAGAUCUGGAGGAAUACCGAUGGCGAAGGCAGCCAUCUGGCCUAAUACUGACACUGAGGCCCGAAAGCGUGGGGAUCAAACAGGAUUAGAUACCCCAGUAGUCC
Molecule: ribosomal RNA, 451 nt
Filed under: uncultured bacterium
Lineage: Bacteria
Description: partial 16S ribosomal RNA
Rfam family: Bacterial small subunit ribosomal RNA
Source: RNAcentral